UACAGAGGCGGCAAGCGUUGUUCGGAAUUAUUGGGCGUAAAGAGCACGUAGGCGGCUGUGUAAGUCGGUUGUGAAAGCCUUCCGCUCAACGGAAGAACGGCAUCCGAUACUGCAUGGCUUGAGUCUGGUAGGGGAGUGCGGAAUUCCUGGUGUAGCGGUGAAAUGCGCAGAUAUCAGGAGGAACACCGGUGGCGAAGGCGGCACUCUGGGCCAGUACUGACGCUGAGGAGCGAAAGCUAGGGGAGCAAAC
Molecule: ribosomal RNA, 250 nt
Filed under: uncultured bacterium
Lineage: Bacteria
Description: partial 16S ribosomal RNA
Rfam family: Bacterial small subunit ribosomal RNA
Source: RNAcentral